Long non-coding RNA from Rosa rugosa (rugosa rose), 575 nucleotides. RefSeq lists it as uncharacterized. The transcript is spliced from 3 exons. Lineage: Eukaryota; Viridiplantae; Streptophyta; Magnoliopsida; Rosales; Rosaceae. The record is from RefSeq and is a predicted model, not a curated record.
GUUCAUGACAGAAGCUAUGCUCAAAAGAUUUGGUUGGUGGGAGAUGGGUUGAGUAAAAAAGAACAGUUGAGUGCACCAAAAGGAACAAGUUUUGUUCCCUUCUCUCAAUUUCCACCAAAACAGUUGCGCAGAGACUGCCUCUACCACUACACACCAGCAAUGAAGAUCCCCAAGUCUCAUGAGAAUGUUUACUCUUGUGAGAACUGGUUGCCAAGGAGGGUGAUGAGUGCGUCGCGUAUAGCAGGAAUAGUGCAUGCAUUGGAAGGUUGGAAUGAGCACGAGUGUGGUCACACCAUGUCCAGCAUUGACAAAGUUUGGCAAGCAACUCUUCGACAUGGCUUUCAGCCUCUAGUCUCCAAAGAGGCAAAGAUUGAUUAGUCACCUCUUCAAGAAAGCAUUACCCAAUUAUGAUUUAUGUUCUGACUACGCCUUGUUUUUAUUUUGAUAUUAUUUGAGUUUAUGUUCAGCUGUACUGUGCUUGGUAGUACAUGAUUUGCAGUGGAUAUGUUAGUGAUUUCCAGUUAUUUGAUGAAUAUAUGGUACCAUUUUCUAAAUGAAUGGUAUUGGUAUAUAUU